Molecule: ribosomal RNA, 492 nt
Filed under: uncultured bacterium
Lineage: Bacteria
Description: partial 16S ribosomal RNA
Rfam family: Bacterial small subunit ribosomal RNA
Source: RNAcentral
AGUGAACGCUGGCGGUAGGCCUAACACAUGCAAGUCGAACGGCAGCACAGUAAGAGCUUGCUCUUACGGGUGGCGAGUGGCGGACGGGUGAGGAAUACAUCGGAAUCUACUUUUUCGUGGGGGAUAACGUAGGGAAACUUACGCUAAUACCGCAUACGACCUACGGGUGAAAGCAGGGGAUCUUCGGACCUUGCGCGAUUGAAUGAGCCGAUGUCGGAUUAGCUAGUUGGCGGGGUAAAGGCCCACCUAGGCGACGAUCCGUAGCUGGUCUGAGAGGAUGAUCAGCCACACUGGAACUGGGACACGGUCCAGACUCCUACGGGAGGCAGCAGUGGGGAAUAUUGGACAAUGGGCGCAAGCCUGAUCCAGCCAUACCGCGUGGGUGAAGAAGGCCUUCGGGUUGUAAAGCCCUUUUGUUGGGAAAGAAAAGCAGCAGGUUAAUACCCCGCUGUUCUGACGGUACCCAAAGAAUAAGCACCGGCUAACUUCGUG